GACGAGCGCUGGCGGCGUGCCUAAUACAUGCAAGUCGAGCGAAUCGAUGGGAGCUUGCUCCCUGAGAUUAGCGGCGGACGGGUGAGUAACACGUGGGUAACCUGCCUGUAAGACUGGGAUAACUUCGGGAAACCGGAGCUAAUACCGGAUACUUUCUUUUCUCGCAUGAGGGAAGAUGGAAAGAUGGUUCUGCUAUCACUUACAGAUGGACCCGCGGCGCAUUAGCUAGUUGGUGAGGUAACGGCUCACCAAGGCGACGAUGCGUAGCCGACCUGAGAGGGUGAUCGGCCACACUGGGACUGAGACACGGCCCAGACUCCUACGGGAGGCAGCAGUAGGGAAUCUUCCGCAAUGGACGAAAGUCUGACGGAGCAACGCCGCGUGAGCGAAGAAGGCCUUCGGGUCGUAAAGCUCUGUUGUUAGGGAAGAACAAGUACGAGAGUAACUGCUCGUACCUUGACGGUACCUAACCAGAAAGCCACGGCUAACUACGUGCCAGCAGCCGCCGUAA
RNAcentral lists this ribosomal RNA (511 nucleotides) under uncultured bacterium. Its description in RNAcentral is "partial 16S ribosomal RNA". It matches the Rfam family "Bacterial small subunit ribosomal RNA", at positions 28 to 523 of the family's 1533-position model. The record is from RNAcentral.